Molecule: ribosomal RNA, 253 nt
Filed under: uncultured bacterium
Lineage: Bacteria
Description: partial 16S ribosomal RNA
Rfam family: Bacterial small subunit ribosomal RNA
Source: RNAcentral
UACGAAGGGGGCUAGCGUUGCUCGGAAUUACUGGGCGUAAAGCGCACGCAGGCGGUCUGUUAAGUCAGAUGUGAAAUCCCCGGGCUCAACCCGGGAACUGCAUUUGAAACUGGCAGGCUUGAGUCUCGUAGAGGGGGGUAGAAUUCCAGGUGUAGCGGUGAAAUGCGUAGAGAUCUGGAGGAAUACCGGUGGCGAAGGCGGCCCCCUGGACGAAGACUGACGCUCAGGUGCGAAAGCGUGGGGAGCAAACAGG